Molecule: ribosomal RNA, 561 nt
Filed under: uncultured Alphaproteobacteria bacterium
Lineage: Bacteria; Pseudomonadati; Pseudomonadota; Alphaproteobacteria
Description: bacterial SSU rRNA
Rfam family: Bacterial small subunit ribosomal RNA
Source: RNAcentral
GGCGGCAGGCCUAAAACAUGCAAGUCGAACGAGCCCUUCGGGGUUAGUGGCGGACGGGUGAGUAACACGUGGGAACGUGCCCUUUGGUUCGGAACAACUCAGGGAAACUUGAGCUAAUACCGAAUGUGCCCUACGGGGGAAAGAUUUAUCGCCAUUGGAGCGGCCCGCGUCUGAUUAGCUAGUUGGUGAGGUAAAGGCUCACCAAGGCUACGAUCAGUAGCUGGUCUGAGAGGAUGAUCAGCCACACUGGGACUGAGACACGGCCCAGACUCCUACGGGAGGCAGCAGUUAGGAAUCUUGCGCAAUGGGCGAAAGCCUGACGCAGCCAUGCCGCGUGAAUGAUGAAGGUCUUAGGAUUGUAAAAUUCUUUCAGUGGGGAAGAUAAUGACGGUACCCACAGAAGAAGCUCCGGCUAACUUCGUGCCAGCAGCCGCGGUAAUACGAAGGGGGCUAGCGUUGCUCGGAAUUACUGGGCGUNAAGGGCGCGUAGGCGGAUGACUAAGUUGGGGGUGAAAGCCCGGGGCUCAACCUCGGAACUGCCUUCAAUACUGGUCAUCUUGA